This 549-nucleotide ribosomal RNA is filed under the name uncultured bacterium. RNAcentral's name for it is "partial 16S rRNA". It matches the Rfam family "Bacterial small subunit ribosomal RNA", at positions 355 to 895 of the family's 1533-position model. The record is from RNAcentral.
UGGGGAAUUUUGGACAAUGGGCGCAAGCUUGAUCUUGCCAUGCGGCGGGUCUGAAGUGGGCUUCGGGUUGUAGGGACUUUUGUCANGGAAGAAAAGCNGGGUUAAUACCCCUGUCUGAUGACGGUACCUGAAGAAUAAGCACCGGCUAACUACGUGCCAGCAGCCGCGGAAAAUACGUAGGGGGGCGAGCGUUAAUCGGAUUUACUGGCCGUAAUGUUGCACGCAGAGGUUUACUUAAGCGGGAUGUGAAAUCCCCGGGCUCAACCUGGGAACUGCGUUCUGAACUGGGUGACUAGAGUGGUGUCAAAGGAAGGUAGAAUUCCACGUGUAGCAGUGAAAUGCGUAAAGAUGUGGAGGAAUACCGAUGGCGAAGGAAGCNUCCUGGAANAACACUGACGUUCAUGCCCAAAAGCGGGGGUNGCAAACAGGAUUAGAUACCCUGGUAGNCCACGCCCUAANCGAUGUCGAUAAGNUGUNGGCCNGCAUGANUGCUUAGAAGCGAANNUAACGGGGGNAAACCGACCGCNUNGGNAGNACGNUNGCNAGAUU